CCUACGGGUGGCAGCAGUGAGGAAUAUUGGUCAAUGGUCGGGAGACUGAACCAGCCAAGUCGCGUGAGGGAUGACGGCCCAGAGUAUUGUAAACCUCUUUUGUCAGGGAACAAAGGCCGGGACGCGUCCCCGGUCGAGAGUACCCGGAGAAAAAGCAUCGGCUAACUCCGUGCCAGCAGCCGCGGUAAUACGGAGGAUGUGAGCGUUAUCCGGAUUUAUUGGGUUUAAAGGGUGCGCAGGCGGCCUCUUAAGUCAGCGGUAAAAGUCCGGGGCUCAACCCCGGUCCGCCGUUGAAACUGGGAGUCUCGAGUUGGAGAGAAGUAUGCGGAAUGCGCGGUGUAGCGGUGAAAUGCAUAGAUAUCGCGCAGAACUCCGAUUGCGAAGGCAGCAUGCCGGCGCCACACUGACGCUGAGGCACGAAAGCGUGGGUAUCGAACAGGAUUAGAUACCCGAGUAGUC
RNAcentral lists this ribosomal RNA (459 nucleotides) under uncultured bacterium. Its description in RNAcentral is "partial 16S ribosomal RNA". It matches the Rfam family "Bacterial small subunit ribosomal RNA", at positions 338 to 795 of the family's 1533-position model. The record is from RNAcentral.